RNAcentral lists this long non-coding RNA (512 nucleotides) under Pan troglodytes (chimpanzee). RNAcentral's name for it is "long non-coding RNA NONPTRT016662". Lineage: Eukaryota; Metazoa; Chordata; Mammalia; Primates; Hominidae. The record is from RNAcentral.
GAGUUGAUGAGAAAGUGGGCAGAUCGGCUCUAUUCACAGCUGGGGGAAACUGACCACUUUAACAAAAGGAAGAAUGCUCAGGUAACAUCUAGCCCAAAGGUCGCUCAGGAAUGUUCAAAGCACUCAGGAGAGAGUGAAGUAUCCCAUCUUUGGGACACACAAGUCCCACUCAGCAUCCAUUGAAAGCGAAGCACCAAAAGCAUUGAGAUGGUGGCAGGACCUCAUUUUCCCUCUUCUCUAUUCCCUUACUCUUUCUCCAGCACAGAAGAAGCCUUGCUGAACACCUCCCGAGCAGAUGGCAUCAGAGAGAAGCUGGAUGUUUUUCCUCAAAUGGAUUAAGAAAGCAGAAGCUUCUGCCAGGGGUAACAAUGCCACUUGUGGGCACCACUGAUUUUUAAAGCACUCCACAUUCAUUAGCUCAUGGAGCCUUCGCAGCAUCCCUGGAAGGCAAGACGUUGGAAGAGCCUCCAAGACAAUGUUGAAAAGUUGGCCCUGCAGCCAGCUUCAGCAGG